Leucoraja erinaceus (little skate) is the source of this 753-nucleotide long non-coding RNA. RefSeq lists it as uncharacterized. The record is from RefSeq and is a predicted model, not a curated record. Lineage: Eukaryota; Metazoa; Chordata; Chondrichthyes; Rajiformes; Rajidae. The transcript has 3 exons.
CCUCUGUGAAAUAAAAACACAAAAAAAAGCGGGGAAUUUUAACAAGCGGGUGUGUGGUCGGGAAAACCUGAUUAAAAGAGGGGGAAGGGGAAGACCAAUCACUACUGAUGGGUCUUCCCUGUAGGGGGGAGGAAGCAGUAGGACCCAGCAGAGUCAGACCACGUGCUGUCUGCAUCGUGGAGGGUGAAGGUUGUCGGCAUGGUGCUGUGCCUGGAACUCUGGUCCAAAUGGGACAUAUUUAAAUCUUUUGACGCCAAUUUGAAUGCAUCUUUCACCCUCAACUCCACUGCUGCUUGGCACAUGCAGAGCAAAAACAAACAAAAGAGAAAAGGAGAAAGGUGCUGACAUCAGACACUUGCCUUUGACCUGUUAUGCUGCUGCAAGUAAGAAUUUCAUUCUUCCAUUUAAGGUACAUAUGACUAUUAACCAUUCUUGAGUCUUGACUCUUGCUCCACUUGGUGAAUAAGCAAACCACGAUCGCCAGACACAAUGUCACGGCAUUGAAACUAACGAGUGCCAAGUGGACAGAGGAAAAGAUUCAAGGAUGCUGUCCAAGCUUUCUUAAACACUUUAACAAAUCCACCAACUGAUAGUAAUCAAAUCCCUAAACCGUGGCUGCACUAAAUGAGGAAUUCAGUCCAAAUGCAUGGAGAAGCUACCGACAACCGACGACCCAUUACGACCACACAGGCGACAACCUACGACAACCGAAGUCAACCUAUGUCCACCCACGACAAGCUACGACCCUGUCGG